RNAcentral lists this ribosomal RNA (497 nucleotides) under uncultured bacterium. RNAcentral describes it as "partial 16S ribosomal RNA". It matches the Rfam family "Bacterial small subunit ribosomal RNA", at positions 28 to 507 of the family's 1533-position model. The record is from RNAcentral.
GAUGAGCGCUGGCGGCGUGCCUAAUACAUGCAAGUCGAGCGAACAGACGAGGAGCUUGCUCCUCUGACGUUAGCGGCGGACGGGUGAGUAACACGUGGAUAACCUACCUAUAAGACUGGGAUAACUUCGGGAAACCGGAGCUAAUACCGGAUAAUAUAUUGAACCGCAUGGUUCAAUAGUGAAAGACGGUUUUGCUGUCACUUAUAGAUGGAUCCGCGCCGCAUUAGCUAGUUGGUAAGGUAACGGCUUACCAAGGCAACGAUGCGUAGCCGACCUGAGAGGGUGAUCGGCCACACUGGAACUGAGACACGGUCCAGACUCCUACGGGAGGCAGCAGUAGGGAAUCUGCCGCAAUGGGCGAAAGCCUGACGGAGCAACGCCGCGUGAGUGAUGAAGGUCUUCGGAUCGUAAAACUCUGUUAUUAGGGAAGAACAAAUGUGUAAGUAACUAUGCACGUCUUGACGGUACCUAAUCAGAAAGCCACGGCUAACUACGUG